This is a small nuclear RNA of Heterocephalus glaber (naked mole-rat), 107 nucleotides long. The record is from Ensembl. NCBI's taxonomy places the organism in Eukaryota, Metazoa, Chordata, Mammalia, Rodentia, Bathyergidae.
AUGCUCUCUUUGGCAACACAAAUACUAAAAGUGGAAUGACUCACCGAAGAUUAACAUGUCCCCUGUGUAAAGAUGACACGUGGAGUAAUGAGCAAGUCCAUGUUUUU